This 448-nucleotide ribosomal RNA is filed under the name uncultured bacterium. Its description in RNAcentral is "bacterial SSU rRNA". It matches the Rfam family "Bacterial small subunit ribosomal RNA", at positions 330 to 793 of the family's 1533-position model. The record is from RNAcentral.
ACCAGACUCCUACGGGAGGCAGCAGUGGGGGAUAUUGCACAAUGGGGGAAACCCUGAUGCAGCGACGCCGCGUGGGCGAAGAAGUAUUUCGGUAUGUAAAGCCCUAUCAGCAGGGAAGAAGAAAUGACGGUACCUGAGUAAGAAGCACCGGCUAGAUACGUGCCAGCAGCCGCGGUAAUACGUAGGGGGCAAGCGUUAUCCGGAUUCACUGGGUGUAAAGGGAGCGUAGACGGCGACGCAAGUCUGGAGUGAAAGCCCGGGGCCCAACCCCGGGACUGCUCUGGAAACUGCGUCGCUGGAGUACGGGAGGGGCAGGCGGAAUUCCUGGUGUAGCGGUGAAAUGCGUAGAUAUCAGGAGGAACACCGGCGGCGAAGGCGGCCUGCUGGACCGUGACUGACGUUGAGGCUCGAGAGCGUGGGGAGCAAACAGGAUUAGAUACCCGGGUAC